CCUACGGGAGGCAGCAGUGAGGAAUAUUGGUCAAUGGUCGGGAGACUGAACCAGCCAAGCCGCGUGAGGGAUGAAGGUCCUGAGUAUCGUAAACUUCUUUUGUCAGGGAACAAAGGCGGGGACGUGUCCCCGGAUGAGUGUACCUGAAGAAAAAGCAUCGGCUAACCCCGUGCCAGCAGCCGCGGUAAUAGGGGGGAUGCGAGCGUUAUCGGGAUUUAUUGGGUUAAAAGGGUGCGCAGGGGGUCUGUUAAGUCAGCGGUAAAAGCCCGGGGCCCAACUCGGACCUGCCGUUGAAACUGGCAGUCUGGAGUUUGAGAGAGGUAAGCGGAAUGCGCGGUGUAGCAGUGAAAUGCAGAGAUAUCGCGCAGAACUCCGAUUGCGAAGGCAGCAUGCCGGCACCACACUGACGCUGAGGCGCGAAAGCGUGGGUAUCGAACAGGAUUAGAUACCCGGGUAGUC
Molecule: ribosomal RNA, 459 nt
Filed under: uncultured bacterium
Lineage: Bacteria
Description: partial 16S ribosomal RNA
Rfam family: Bacterial small subunit ribosomal RNA
Source: RNAcentral